GACUUGCUCUCAUGAGUUACGGCGGACGGGUGAGUACACGUGGGUACCUGCCCAUAAGACUGGGAUAACUCCGGGAAACCGGGGCUAAUACCGGAUAACAUUUUGAACUGCAUGGUUCGAAAUUGAAAGGCGGCUUCGGCUGUCACUUAUGGAUGGACCCGCGUCGCAUUAGCUAGUUGGUGAGGUAACGGCUCACCAAGGCAACGAUGCGUAGCCGACCUGAGAGGGUGAUCGGCCACACUGGGACUGAGACACGGCCCAGACUCCUACGGGAGGCAGCAGUAGGGAAUCUUCCGCAAUGGACGAAAGUCUGACGGAGCAACGCCGCGUGAGUGAUGAAGGCUUUCGGGUCGUAAAACUCUGUUGUUAGGGAAGAACAAGUGCUAGUUGAAUAAGCUGGCACCUUGACGGUACCUAACCAGAAAGCCACGGCUAACUACGUGCCAGCAGCCGCGGUAAUACGUAGGUGGCAGCGUUAUCCGAUUUU
RNAcentral lists this ribosomal RNA (487 nucleotides) under Bacillus thuringiensis. RNAcentral describes it as "bacterial SSU rRNA". It matches the Rfam family "Bacterial small subunit ribosomal RNA", at positions 77 to 552 of the family's 1533-position model. Lineage: Bacteria; Bacillati; Bacillota; Bacilli; Caryophanales; Bacillaceae. The record is from RNAcentral.